Molecule: long non-coding RNA, 609 nt
Organism: Vanessa atalanta (red admiral)
Lineage: Eukaryota; Metazoa; Arthropoda; Insecta; Lepidoptera; Nymphalidae
Exons: 3
Source: RefSeq, a predicted model, not a curated record
ACGGGGGAAGGAAUGCAAGGUGUCGGUUAAUGGUGUAAGUUUUAUCAGUGAGGCGCGCGCGCCGGCAGUGGAUCGACGCUGUCACGCAACCUUCAAAUUUCGAAUUACUUUCAACUAUUUACUGUUUACCUUAAUGAAAUGUAUACAGAUACAAAAUAAAACAAAAAACUAUAUAAUAUAAAAGUUAAUAAGCUUAAUCCGGAAGUUGUAAAUUGUUAAGACGCACAAUAUGUACAAUAUGUACAACCACGAAGAAGUCGAACCAAAAGAGAAAACGAACAGCAGCCUUUGCAGCAGCGCAUAGCUAGACCAAUCUGAGCCAUAAGCUACGGAGCCAUACCAUUAAGGAUCCGAAGGGGAGGCGGCAGGUUGUUCCAGCACUUCGUCGCUGCAUAGCGGAAACUACCACGAAAGGCUGCUGAUCGAUGAAGAGGCACGCUAAGCAUAUAAGACGACGCUCUCGUGGGAUAUGUUUUGUUACUUUCUUUUGCCCAACUCAACUUACUAUACAGAUAUAAAGGUGCUUUAUUUUGAAUAACACCAAAUAGGAGGGUAGCAAGAUGUAAUUGCCUUCGGUAUUCCAUCUUAAUCAUCCGUGCGGUAUUAAGG